Small nucleolar RNA from Gopherus evgoodei (Goodes thornscrub tortoise), 104 nucleotides. The record is from Ensembl. Lineage: Eukaryota; Metazoa; Chordata; Testudines; Testudinidae.
UGCCUGUGACGACUUGCCAUGCUAAUACCGACCCCCCCAGCAGCACUUAGCUCUGCGCUGGCAGGGAAUGAGUUCAACUUGCUCCUCAUGGAGCUCUGAGGCAC